AUUGAACGCUGGCGGCAGGCCUAACACAUGCAAGUCGAGCGCGAAAGUCUUCGGAUGAGUAAAGCGGCGAACGGGUGAGUAAUGCAUGGGAAUCUGCCUGGGUAGUGGGGGACAACGUCUCGAAAGGGACGCUAAUACCGCAUACGCCCUACGGGGGAAAGGGGGGGAUCUUCGGACCUCUCGCUAUCAGAUGAGCCCAUGUCAGAUAAGCUAGUUGGUAGGGUAAAGGCCUACCAAGGCGACGAUCUGUAACUGGUCUGAGAGGAUGAUCAGUCACACUGGAACUGAGACACGGUCCAGACUCCUACGGGAGGCAGCAGUGGGGAAUAUUGGACAAUGGGCGCAAGCCUGAUCCAGCCAUGCCGCGUGUGUGAAGAAGGCCCUUGGGUUGUAAAGCACUUUCAGUGGGGAGAAAGGUCUGGAACCUAAUACGUUUUGGAAUUGAUGUUACCACAGAAGAAGCACCGGCUAACUCCGUGCCAGCAGCCGCGGUAAU
This 496-nucleotide ribosomal RNA is filed under the name uncultured bacterium. RNAcentral's name for it is "bacterial SSU rRNA". It matches the Rfam family "Bacterial small subunit ribosomal RNA", at positions 30 to 524 of the family's 1533-position model. The record is from RNAcentral.